RNAcentral lists this unclassified non-coding RNA (350 nucleotides) under soil metagenome. RNAcentral describes it as "partial contains 5.8S ribosomal RNA, internal transcribed spacer 2, and large subunit ribosomal RNA". The stretch from base 1 to 120 matches the Rfam family "5.8S ribosomal RNA", at positions 35 to 154 of the family's 154-position model. The record is from RNAcentral.
GAUGAAGAACGCAGCGAAAUGCGAUAAGUAAUGUGAAUUGCAGAAUUCAGUGAAUCAUCGAAUCUUUGAACGCACAUUGCGCCCGCCAGUAUUCUGGCGGGCAUGCCUGUUCGAGCGUCAUUUCAACCCUCAAGCCCAGCUUGGUGUUGGGGAUCGGCACAGGCGCCCUCGGGCGCCCGCCGUCCCCUAAAUCUAGUGGCGGUCCCGCUGCAGCCUCCUCUGCGUAGUAGUUUUCUUCUCGCAAGGGCAGCUCGGUGGCGACCUCGCCGUAAAACCCCCAACUUCUGAAAGGUUGACCUCGAAUCAGGUAGGAAUACCCGCUGAACUUAAGCAUAUCAAUAAGCGGAGGA